CCUUCCAGCCUAUCAUUGAUCAGAUCAGCAGCUUCAGAUUGGAAGUAGCCUCCUGCUACCAGGAAGUAGCUGCAGCCGGGUGGAGAAUCAUCCAGUGUGUGUGUGUGUGUGUGUGUGUUCUUGUCUGCAGCACAUCACGUGACCAACUUCACCAUGUUCACCCACAAAUUGAGGUUAUAGUGGAAAGUGAGGACAUCUUCCUGGUCCUCAGUCUUGCUGCGAUUUGCUAGUCAGGUUUAGAGGUUUGGAGCGAAAAAAUGUUUGAGUAUGCUUAGGGUGAGGAACAGACUAGUGAUGGUGAAAGAAAAUGCCUGGGUAAGGCACGAAGCUAAUGAUGCUAAUGACUAGAAGUUAAUAUAAAAUCCUAAUAUGGGUAGAAAUUAGUGCUGAGACUUUAAUUUUACUGAUUUUAAUGCAUUUGCAAUACUGGCACACCUGUUAAUCUGAUGUACAAGCAACAUCUGCAAACAGCAAUGUAUGAUGAACCUGCUUCUCAGUUUCUGCUUCUAAACGAUCUGAUUGGAGAUCGUUUAGAUGUUGUUGUUGAACAACAACUUGUCAUGCUACAAGGUCCAAGUUGUGCUAAAAGCAGUUAGUCCAUCAGCAAAGCUAUUAAAGCCUAAAAUAGCAUAUGAAUGCUAACAUGUAGCAGAAGUACAGAUGCUAAUGCCAAUAUUAGCAUCCACAAUCCACAUUUCUAAAGAACCUCCAUGAAUGAUCAGCAAUGGGUGUGCUGUGGUGGUGCAGGAGUUAAGCACAACCCACAUAUGGAGGCCUUAGUCCUCCACGCGGCCGUUGCAGGUUCGAUUCUCAGCCUGGUGGCCUUUGC
Long non-coding RNA from Poecilia latipinna (sailfin molly), 829 nucleotides. RefSeq lists it as uncharacterized. The transcript is spliced from 3 exons. Lineage: Eukaryota; Metazoa; Chordata; Actinopteri; Cyprinodontiformes; Poeciliidae. The record is from RefSeq and is a predicted model, not a curated record.